Molecule: ribosomal RNA, 2786 nt
Filed under: Escherichia coli
Lineage: Bacteria; Pseudomonadati; Pseudomonadota; Gammaproteobacteria; Enterobacterales; Enterobacteriaceae
Description: bacterial LSU rRNA
Rfam family: Bacterial large subunit ribosomal RNA
Source: RNAcentral
AGCGUACACGGUGGAUGCCCUGGCAGUCAGAGGCGAUGAAGGACGUGCUAAUCUGCGAUAAGCGUCGGUAAGGUGAUAUGAACCGUUAUAACCGGCGAUUUCCGAAUGGGGAAACCCAGUGUGUUUCGACACACUAUCAUUAACUGAAUCCAUAGGUUAAUGAGGCGAACCGGGGGAACUGAAACAUCUAAGUACCCCGAGGAAAAGAAAUCAACCGAGAUUCCCCCAGUAGCGGCGAGCGAACGGGGAGCAGCCCAGAGCCUGAAUCAGUGUGUGUGUUAGUGGAAGCGUCUGGAAAGGCGCGCGAUACAGGGUGACAGCCCCGUACACAAAAAUGCACAUGCUGUGAGCUCGAUGAGUAGGGCGGGACACGUGGUAUCCUGUCUGAAUAUGGGGGGACCAUCCUCCAAGGCUAAAUACUCCUGACUGACCGAUAGUGAACCAGUACCGUGAGGGAAAGGCGAAAAGAACCCCGGCGAGGGGAGUGAAAAAGAACCUGAAACCGUGUACGUACAAGCAGUGGGAGCACGCUUCGGCGUGUGACUGCGUACCUUUUGUAUAAUGGGUCAGCGACUUAUAUUCUGUAGCAAGGUUAACCGAAUAGGGGAGCCGAAGGGAAACCGAGUCUUAACUGGGCGUUAAGUUGCAGGGUAUAGACCCGAAACCCGGUGAUCUAGCCAUGGGCAGGUUGAAGGUUGGGUAACACUAACUGGAGGACCGAACCGACUAAUGUUGAAAAAUUAGCGGAUGACUUGUGGCUGGGGGUGAAAGGCCAAUCAAACCGGGAGAUAGCUGGUUCUCCCCGAAAGCUAUUUAGGUAGCGCCUCGUGAAUUCAUCUCCGGGGGUAGAGCACUGUUUCGGCAAGGGGGUCAUCCCGACUUACCAACCCGAUGCAAACUGCGAAUACCGGAGAAUGUUAUCACGGGAGACACACGGCGGGUGCUAACGUCCGUCGUGAAGAGGGAAACAACCCAGACCGCCAGCUAAGGUCCCAAAGUCAUGGUUAAGUGGGAAACGAUGUGGGAAGGCCCAGACAGCCAGGAUGUUGGCUUAGAAGCAGCCAUCAUUUAAAGAAAGCGUAAUAGCUCACUGGUCGAGUCGGCCUGCGCGGAAGAUGUAACGGGGCUAAACCAUGCACCGAAGCUGCGGCAGCGACACUAUGUGUUGUUGGGUAGGGGAGCGUUCUGUAAGCCUGUGAAGGUGUACUGUGAGGUAUGCUGGAGGUAUCAGAAGUGCGAAUGCUGACAUAAGUAACGAUAAAGCGGGUGAAAAGCCCGCUCGCCGGAAGACCAAGGGUUCCUGUCCAACGUUAAUCGGGGCAGGGUGAGUCGACCCCUAAGGCGAGGCCGAAAGGCGUAGUCGAUGGGAAACAGGUUAAUAUUCCUGUACUUGGUGUUACUGCGAAGGGGGGACGGAGAAGGCUAUGUUGGCCGGGCGACGGUUGUCCCGGUUUAAGCGUGUAGGCUGGUUUUCCAGGCAAAUCCGGAAAAUCAAGGCUGAGGCGUGAUGACGAGGCACUACGGUGCUGAAGCAACAAAUGCCCUGCUUCCAGGAAAAGCCUCUAAGCAUCAGGUAACAUCAAAUCGUACCCCAAACCGACACAGGUGGUCAGGUAGAGAAUACCAAGGCGCUUGAGAGAACUCGGGUGAAGGAACUAGGCAAAAUGGUGCCGUAACUUCGGGAGAAGGCACGCUGAUAUGUAGGUGAGGUCCCUCGCGGAUGGAGCUGAAAUCAGUCGAAGAUACCAGCUGGCUGCAACUGUUUAUUAAAAACACAGCACUGUGCAAACACGAAAGUGGACGUAUACGGUGUGACGCCUGCCCGGUGCCGGAAGGUUAAUUGAUGGGGUCAGCGCAAGCGAAGCUCUUGAUCGAAGCCCCGGUAAACGGCGGCCGUAACUAUAACGGUCCUAAGGUAGCGAAAUUCCUUGUCGGGUAAGUUCCGACCUGCACGAAUGGCGUAAUGAUGGCCAGGCUGUCUCCACCCGAGACUCAGUGAAAUUGAACUCGCUGUGAAGAUGCAGUGUACCCGCGGCAAGACGGAAAGACCCCGUGAACCUUUACUAUAGCUUGACACUGAACAUUGAGCCUUGAUGUGUAGGAUAGGUGGGAGGCUUUGAAGUGUGGACGCCAGUCUGCAUGGAGCCGACCUUGAAAUACCACCCUUUAAUGUUUGAUGUUCUAACGUUGACCCGUAAUCCGGGUUGCGGACAGUGUCUGGUGGGUAGUUUGACUGGGGCGGUCUCCUCCUAAAGAGUAACGGAGGAGCACGAAGGUUGGCUAAUCCUGGUCGGACAUCAGGAGGUUAGUGCAAUGGCAUAAGCCAGCUUGACUGCGAGCGUGACGGCGCGAGCAGGUGCGAAAGCAGGUCAUAGUGAUCCGGUGGUUCUGAAUGGAAGGGCCAUCGCUCAACGGAUAAAAGGUACUCCGGGGAUAACAGGCUGAUACCGCCCAAGAGUUCAUAUCGACGGCGGUGUUUGGCACCUCGAUGUCGGCUCAUCACAUCCUGGGGCUGAAGUAGGUCCCAAGGGUAUGGCUGUUCGCCAUUUAAAGUGGUACGCGAGCUGGGUUUAGAACGUCGUGAGACAGUUCGGUCCCUAUCUGCCGUGGGCGCUGGAGAACUGAGGGGGGCUGCUCCUAGUACGAGAGGACCGGAGUGGACGCAUCACUGGUGUUCGGGUUGUCAUGCCAAUGGCACUGCCCGGUAGCUAAAUGCGGAAGAGAUAAGUGCUGAAAGCAUCUAAGCACGAAACUUGCCCCGAGAUGAGUUCUCCCUGACUCCUUGA